RNAcentral lists this ribosomal RNA (484 nucleotides) under uncultured bacterium. Its description in RNAcentral is "partial 16S ribosomal RNA". It matches the Rfam family "Bacterial small subunit ribosomal RNA", at positions 30 to 507 of the family's 1533-position model. The record is from RNAcentral.
AUUGAACGCUGGCGGCAUGCUUUACACAUGCAAGUCGAACGGCAGCGCGGGCUUCUGCCUGGCUGCUAGUGGCGAACGCGUGAGUAAAACAUCUGAACGUGCCCAGCAUUGUGGGAUAGCUCGGCGAAAGCCGGAUUAAUACCGCAUACGACCUGACCGUGAAAGCGGGGGAUCUUCGGACCUCGCGCUAUUGGAGCGGCCGAUGCGAGAUUAGCUAGUUGGUUGGGUAAAGGCCUACCAAGUCGACGAUCUGUAGCUGGUCUGAGAGGACGACCAGCCACACUGGGACUGGGACAGGGCCCAGACGCCUGCGGGAGGCAGCAGUGGGGAAUUGUGGACAAUGGGCGAAAGCCUGAUCCAGCAAUGCCGCGUGUGUGAUGACAGCGUUCGGGUUGUAAAGAACUUUUGGCGGGAACGAAAAGGACUGUGCUAAUACGACGGUUCGAUGACGGUACCCGGAGAAUAAGCACCGGCUAACUACGUG